Long non-coding RNA from Perca fluviatilis (European perch), 607 nucleotides. RefSeq lists it as uncharacterized. Lineage: Eukaryota; Metazoa; Chordata; Actinopteri; Perciformes; Percidae. The transcript has 2 exons. The record is from RefSeq and is a predicted model, not a curated record.
UUUGGCAAGUUUUAAGAAAAUGUGAAUCAUGCAACAAUGCAGGCCUGCUUUUUUCUUUCAGGGAAUGAUUGUAAAGAUUUACAAAGAAUAUGUUUACAGCAUUUACUGUCUAACUGGGAAGUUUUGGGAUCGAUUUGUGGGGAUUGCUAUGGACGAAAUACACACUGAUACACUGAAUGUACCUGUGGAGUGGCCAGACCUUCCUACACAGCACUGUGGAGAUAGGUCCGGCCAUGUGAGACAUAAUUGUGAAUACACUCCAUUAUAAGACUGUGCCACGCCUUUUUUUUGGAGCAGCAUCCUUGGUCCAAAAGUCAAUAAAUCGAAUAACCUCUUGUGUUUGAUAUUUAUAAUAUGAACAUCUGGAAGACCAAGUGAGAGGCAACUCUGUUGGAACACCAAAUAUAGCAUGCUGUUCAUCCACAAUACCAGACAAACAGCUUUGUACACUAACUUUACAUUUUAUUGUUACAUUUAUUAGUAGUUAGAGCAGUGAGAUUGCUCAUAUAUAGCAUUUAGCAUCAUGAAAGGGAAUAACACAUUAAAACUGUAUCUUUUGUGAUCUCUGAGAGUGCAAAUUGAGUGGAAUAAACCUUUAACGUCAGUA